CUAGUACAUCAAGAGUGGCAAUUAUAAAUAAUUGUCCGGCAACCGAGCCAUUGAAGAAUGGAUACGGUGCCAAUUCACUUAAGAGGAGUGAUGUGGUCAAUUCACUUUGACAAAAAAAAUAUUACUU
This 127-nucleotide non-coding RNA is filed under the name Minisyncoccota. RNAcentral's name for it is "Candidatus Pacebacteria SAM-I-IV sequence". It matches the Rfam family "SAM-I/IV (S-adenosyl methionine) riboswitch aptamer". Rfam says of the family: It is found upstream of a number of genes which code for proteins involved in methionine or cysteine biosynthesis. It has been found mostly in the order Actinomycetales. Lineage: Bacteria; Bacillati. The record is from RNAcentral.